RNAcentral lists this non-coding RNA (56 nucleotides) under unclassified sequences. The record is from RNAcentral.
CGCAGAGUGACGGGCGCAAGCCCGGUAAUGCGGCUAAGAGCGGUCACAAGCCCCGC